GCCAGGUGCGGUGGUGCUUGCCUGUAAUCCCAGCGGCCUGGGAGGCUGAGUCAGGAGAAUCAUGAGUUCAAAGCCAGCCUCAGCUAAAGCAAGGCGCUAAGCAACUCAGUGAGACCCUGUCUCUA
This 125-nucleotide small RNA is filed under the name Marmota monax (woodchuck). The record is from RNAcentral. Lineage: Eukaryota; Metazoa; Chordata; Mammalia; Rodentia; Sciuridae.